UGGGGAAUUUUGGACAAUGGGCGAAAGCCUGAUCCAGCAAUGCCGCGUGUGUGAAGAAGGCCUUCGGGUUGUAAAGCACUUUUGUCCGGAAAGAAAUCCUUGGCUCUAAUACAGUCGGGGGAUGACGGUACCGGAAGAAUAAGCACCGGCUAACUACGUGCCAGCAGCCGCGGUAAUACGUAGGGUGCAAGCGUUAAUCGGAAUUACUGGGCGUAAAGCGUGCGCAGGCGGUUUGCUAAGACCGAUGUGAAAUCCCCGGGCUCAACCUGGGAACUGCAUUGGUGACUGGCAGGCUAGAGUAUGGCAGAGGGGGGUAGAAUUCCACGUGUAGCAGUGAAAUGCGUAGAGAUGUGGAGGAAUACCGAUGGCGAAGGCAGCCCCCUGGGCCAAUACUGACGCUCAUGCACGAAAGCGUGGGGGAGCAAACAGGAUUAGAUACCCUGGUAGUCCACGCCCUAAAACGAUGUCAACUAGUUGUUGGGGAUUCAUUUCCUUAGUAACGUAGCUAACGCGUGAAGUUGACCGCCU
RNAcentral lists this ribosomal RNA (528 nucleotides) under uncultured bacterium. Its description in RNAcentral is "partial 16S ribosomal RNA". It matches the Rfam family "Bacterial small subunit ribosomal RNA", at positions 355 to 874 of the family's 1533-position model. The record is from RNAcentral.